This is a long non-coding RNA of Cyprinodon tularosa, 398 nucleotides long. RefSeq lists it as uncharacterized. The record is from RefSeq and is a predicted model, not a curated record. Lineage: Eukaryota; Metazoa; Chordata; Actinopteri; Cyprinodontiformes; Cyprinodontidae. The transcript has 3 exons.
ACGGCUCAUUUUGGAUGAACAGAUCUACUUCACUUAAACAAUUUUCCAACGUACCCUUCCAUGGCUGUUUUUGUAUCAAGUCUUUGAGUCCAUCUGAGAAAUUCUGAUUCAUCAGGUUAGGAUUUUCUAUUGAAUAAAAAAAAAAACCCAAGGACCAAAUGUGAAAAAAAAACAGUGAUGGACUACUGAUUGGCAGCAUGUUAGGAACGCCAGACCUACACCAGAAGAGUGCAUAGAUUCUGGCAUCUGAUUAAAAGGAAUGAGACAAACAGCAGACUGUCCAGUGAUUCUUCCUUCCUUCGUCUUCAAGAAAACUCUUUGCAUUCACUGAUCAUGUAUAACAAAGCAAGGUUAACACCUAAGCCAAGAUGAACCCUUAUAUCAUUUCUCACUUAAGG